CUCAUAGCGUAUAUUAAUGUUGUUGCAGUUAAAAAGCUCGUAGUUGGAUUCCUGACCUGGGGUAGCCGGUCCGCCUUGCAAAAGGUGCGCACUGAGCGGCCUCGGUCAUCCUUGAGAAGAGCGGUCCUGGCAUUCAGUUGUCGGGGUCGGGAUUCUCGACGUUUACUGUGAAAAAAUCAGAGUGUUCAACGCAGGCUUACGCCUUGAAUACAUUAGCAUGGAAUAAUGAGAUAGGACCUUGGCGGUCUAUUUUGUUGGUUUGCACGCCGAGGUAAUGAUUAAAAGGGACGGUUGGGGUUCUUCGUAUUCAAUUGUCAGAGGUGAAAUUCUUGGAUUUAUGGAAGACGAACUGCUGCGAAAGCGUCGAACAAGGACGUUCUCAUUAAUCAAGAACGAAAGUUAGGGGAUCGA
Molecule: ribosomal RNA, 411 nt
Filed under: uncultured eukaryote
Lineage: Eukaryota
Description: SSU rRNA
Rfam family: Eukaryotic small subunit ribosomal RNA
Source: RNAcentral